AGCAGCCGCGCCAGCCUCAUGCCGAGUCCCGCUAGAGAAGCCACAGCCAGUACGCCAGGUUUCCCCGCGCCUCUGCCGAGUGGGUUGAAGGCAAAUACUUGAAGUUGCAAUCGAAGGUCAAGAAAAUGGAAUCAAGAGGUCACAAUCCUUCUCUGAUGAUGGCUUAGAAAGCUGGAAGACACUCAACAUUGAAUCCUGGGGCUCUGUGCCAUGCUUGCUAGGAGAAACAGCCACCAUGAGUCCAUCUUUCAGAUCUCAAGUGAACAGUCAUUCUCCAGCUGGGAUUGAGAACAAGGGGAAGCUGGCCAUAGAGCCAGGUGACCAAAGAUGGAAGACAAAGGGUGGGCUGUGAUUCCCAGAGCUCCAAGCCUUGUUCUGUCUUGUCACACCAACUGUUACUGAUGAACAGGACAGAGAGUCACUGUGAUUGCCUACUUUGAAAUGGUUCAGAGCCAGUCACUGCCUUUCCUACAGGCAUAUACCAAAUCUACAUUCACCACAAAAACUGGGCUUGUGAAAGAAAAGAUUUUCUUGGAAUUCCUAUGCCCCUGGCCUUGACUCUGGAGCCAGGGGUCAGGUGACUCACAGCUGAAGAAGUGUGGCUGCUAUUAAAACAUGCCAGAGGAGAGCUUACGACGGCCACUAUUGUUAAGAGUAUCAUUAACGGUGUCAAAAUUCUUGUCAAAAAUCCUGUGUUGCCCCAUAAAUAUAUACACCUACUAUGUAUCCACAAAAAUUUAAAAAAAUCUUACUUUGAAUUACAAAAAAAGGAAGCAGAACAGUAUCUAAUAAAUGACAAAGUGCUUUUCAUGUCUUCUCAGUUGAUCUCCAGCACAACUGUAUGCACUAAUGACUACUAGGCAUUGUUCUGAACGGACAGGAAAGCAAACUCAUAUGUUAAGGGACUUGCCCUGUGGGUCAGUCAGUAUCAAAGCUGAAACCAGGAGCAGAGACCAGGUCUCUGACCUCUCAGGGCCGGCUUGCAAAUUCCCUAGGGGCCUGCUCUUGGGAACACAGGGCGGGUGUUCCGGGAGGGAGGGGCGUGGGGAAGAGAAGGCAGCCUGGCAGUGACUCUGUGCUGUGCUCUGGCUCCUGCCGUUGCCCUUUCACAAC
RNAcentral lists this long non-coding RNA (1113 nucleotides) under Homo sapiens (human). RNAcentral's name for it is "HSALNT0307192". The record is from RNAcentral. Lineage: Eukaryota; Metazoa; Chordata; Mammalia; Primates; Hominidae.